RNAcentral lists this ribosomal RNA (492 nucleotides) under uncultured bacterium. RNAcentral's name for it is "partial 16S ribosomal RNA". It matches the Rfam family "Bacterial small subunit ribosomal RNA", at positions 29 to 507 of the family's 1533-position model. The record is from RNAcentral.
AGUGAACGCUGGCGGUAGGCCUAACACAUGCAAGUCGAACGGCAGCACAGUAAGAGCUUGCUCUUACGGGUGGCGAGUGGCGGACGGGUGAGGAAUACAUCGGAAUCUACUUUUUCGUGGGGGAUAACGUAGGGAAACUUACGCUAAUACCGCAUACGACCUACGGGUGAAAGCAGGGGAUCUUCGGACCUUGCGCGAUUGAAUGAGCCGAUGUCGGAUUAGCUAGUUGGCGGGGUAAAGGCCCACCAAGGCGACGAUCCGUAGCUGGUCUGAGAGGAUGAUCAGCCACACUGGAACUGAGACACGGUCCAGACUCCUACGGGAGGCAGCAGUGGGGAAUAUUGGACAAAGGGCGCAAGCCUGAUCCAGCUAUACCGCGUGGGUGAAGAAGGCCUUCGGGUUGUAAAGCCCCUUUGUUGGGAAAGAAAAGCAGCAGGUUAAUACCCCGCUGUUCUGACGGUACCCAAAGAAUAAGCACCGGCUAACUUCGUG